UCCCUGAUAGCUCAGUUGGUAAAGAAUCUGCCUGCAGUGCAGGAGACACUGGUUCAAUUCCUGUAUCGGGAA
This 72-nucleotide transfer RNA is filed under the name Ovis aries (sheep). It matches the Rfam family "tRNA". Rfam says of the family: Transfer RNA (tRNA) molecules are approximately 80 nucleotides in length. Their secondary structure includes four short double-helical elements and three loops (D, anti-codon, and T loops). Lineage: Eukaryota; Metazoa; Chordata; Mammalia; Artiodactyla; Bovidae. The record is from Rfam by way of RNAcentral.